UACGUAGGUGGCAAGCGUUGUCCGGAUUUAUUGGGUUUAAAGGGUGCGUAGGUGGGAUAAUAAGUCAGAGGUGAAAGCUAGCAGCUUAACUGUUAAAUUGCCUUUGAUACUGUUAUUCUUGAGUAUAGUUGGCGUUGGCGGAAUGUGACAUGUAGCGGUGAAAUGCGUAGAUAUGUCACAGAACACCGAUCGCGAAGGCAGCUAACGAAACUAUCACUGACACUGAUGCACGAAAGCGUGGGGAGCAAACAGG
This 253-nucleotide ribosomal RNA is filed under the name uncultured bacterium. RNAcentral's name for it is "partial 16S ribosomal RNA". It matches the Rfam family "Bacterial small subunit ribosomal RNA", at positions 524 to 776 of the family's 1533-position model. The record is from RNAcentral.